AGUAGUUGACUCCGUGGCUACGAGGACGAACGCUGGCGGCGUGCUUAACACAUGCAAGUCGAACGGAACGCCUUGGAAAGAGAUUUCGGUCAAUGGAAGGGGUUGUUUAGUGGCGGACGGGUGAGUAACGCGUGAGGAACCUGCCUUUCAGAGGGGGACAACAGUUGGAAACGACUGCUAAUACCGCAUAAUGCAUAGGUAUCGCAUGGUACAGAUGCCAAAGAUUUAUCGCUGAGAGAUGGCCUCGCGUCUGAUUAGCUAGUUGGUAGGGUAACGGCCUACCAAGGCGACGAUCAGUAGCCGGACUGAGAGGUUGGCCGGCCACAUUGGGACUGAGAUACGGCCCAGACUCCUACGGGAGGCAGCAGUGGGGAAUAUUGGGCAAUGGGCGCAAGCCUGACCCAGCAACGCCGCGUGAAGGAAGAAGGCUUUCGGGUUGUAAACUUCUUUUAACAAGGAAGAGCAGAAGACGGUACCUGUUGAAUAAGCCACGGCUAACUACGUG
RNAcentral lists this ribosomal RNA (505 nucleotides) under uncultured Oscillibacter sp. RNAcentral's name for it is "bacterial SSU rRNA". It matches the Rfam family "Bacterial small subunit ribosomal RNA", at positions 1 to 507 of the family's 1533-position model. Lineage: Bacteria; Bacillati; Bacillota; Clostridia; Eubacteriales; Oscillospiraceae. The record is from RNAcentral.